CAGAAUAUAUCUUGAGGUACCUGCUCUAUGGAAUUAUUCACACUGUUCACCAACAAGAAGAAUAAAGUCAAUCAAUUCGAGGAGUCUCAGAACAGGAGCACAUAGGCACCAAACUUUGUGGGACAACAAAUAUAAUGAAGAGUAUGUUUGCUUCUUUCAAACAAAACAAAUUAAGGAAUGAACGAAUGUUGCUCUGGACAAAGCUGCAGCUUCCACGUCCUGCAUAACUGCACUCAGUACUGACCCUGAAGAUGGGAAAAGCAAUAUAACUGGUGCUAGAAAUGUUAUGAGAAUGACUUGGAUGACCUGAAAAAUGAAUGAGCUCCUUGAACAAGG
This is a long non-coding RNA of Nomascus leucogenys (northern white-cheeked gibbon), 336 nucleotides long. RefSeq lists it as uncharacterized. NCBI's taxonomy places the organism in Eukaryota, Metazoa, Chordata, Mammalia, Primates, Hylobatidae. The transcript is spliced from 4 exons. The record is from RefSeq and is a predicted model, not a curated record.